AGUGAACGCUGGCGGUAGGCCUAACACAUGCAAGUCGAACGGCAGCACAGUAAGAGCUUGCUCUUACGGGUGGCGAGUGGCGGACGGGUGAGGAAUACAUCGGAAUCUACUUUUUCGUGGGGGAUAACGUAGGGAAACUUACGCUAAUACCGCAUACGACCUACGGGUGAAAGCAGGGGAUCUUCGGACCUUGCGCGAUUGAAUGAGCCGAUGUCGGAUUAGCUAGUUGGCGGGGUAAAGGCCCACCAAGGCGACGAUCCGUAGCUGGUCUGAGAGGAUGAUCAGCCACACUGGAACUGAGACAUGGUCCAGACUCCUACGGGAGGCAGCAGUGGGGAAUAUUGGACAAUGGGCGCAAGCCUGAUCCAGCCAUACCGCGUGGGUGAAGAAGGCCUUCGGGUUGUAAAGCCCUUUUGUUGGGAAAGAAAAGCAGCAGGUUAAUACCCCGCUGUUCUGACGGUACCCAAAGAAUAAGCACCGGCUAACCUCGUG
Molecule: ribosomal RNA, 492 nt
Filed under: uncultured bacterium
Lineage: Bacteria
Description: partial 16S ribosomal RNA
Rfam family: Bacterial small subunit ribosomal RNA
Source: RNAcentral